RNAcentral lists this ribosomal RNA (305 nucleotides) under uncultured bacterium. Its description in RNAcentral is "partial 16S ribosomal RNA". It matches the Rfam family "Bacterial small subunit ribosomal RNA", at positions 508 to 807 of the family's 1533-position model. The record is from RNAcentral.
ACAGCAGUCGCCGCGGUAAUACGGAGGGUGCAAGCGUUAAUCGGAAUUACUGGGCGUAAAGCGUGCGUAGGUGGUGGUUUAAGUCCGUUGUGAAAGCCCUGGGCUCAACCUGGGAAUUGCAGUGGAUACUGGGUCACUAGAGUGUGGUAGAGGAUAGUGGAAUUUCCGGUGUAGCAGUGAAAUGCGUAGAGAUCGGAAGGAACAUCUGUGGCGAAGGCGACUAUCUGGGCCAACACUGACACUGAGGCACGAAAGCGUGGGGAGCAAACAGGAUUAGAUACCCCGGUAGUCCCUGUCUCUUAUAC